CGCGAUGAAAUUUGAGAGAGCAGAAAUGCUGAGACGAAAGCCAACCAAGAUCGAACUCAAAAUCGAAGACAAAGACGAACUCGAAAAAGCUCGCAAGCAGCGCGCCGCCGCCACCUCCAUCACCACAACCACCGCCGCCACUACUCUUCUCCACCACGUCGACCGCGCCAAAGACCCCUCCUCCAAAACGCACCGUAUCGGCCUUCCUCAGUAAUCGAAUUUCGAACGCCUCCAAAUAUCUUUAUGUCUCAAAUCCCCAAAGCUCUGAUGGAAGUGGAGGUCAAGCUCCGGCUCCUGGACGCCGCCGCCCACCGCCAAGUCACCACCCUCCUGGCGCCAUUCCUCGUCGCCACACACCGCCAGGAGAAUCUCUUCUUCGACGGCUCCAAAGCCGAGCUCGCGGCGCGCCGGGCCGUCCUCCGGCUACGAUUCUCCGACAGGAGCCCUCUCUGUGCCGUGACGCUCAAGGCGCGGGCAGUGCUGGUCCAAGGCGUCAGCCGAGUUGAGGAGGACGAGGAGGAGCUCGACCAUUCGAUCGGGCGGGCCUGCGCUGCCGAGCCAGAGAAGCUGAUGACGGCGGAGUCUAGGGUUCUGAGGAGGGUGAGAGAGGAAUUUGGGGUUUUAGGGUUUGUGGGAUUGGGAGGGUUCAGGAAUGUGAGGGAUGUGUAUGAUUGGAAAGGCUUGAAAUUGGAGGUGGAUGAGACUAAGUAUGAUUUUGGUACUUGUUAUGAGAUUGAGUGUGAGAGUGCUGACCCUGAAGGAGUCAAGGUGGUGCUUGAGGACUUGUUGAAGGAAAAUGGGGUUCGGUAUUCUUACUCAGAAGUAUCAAAGUUUGCAAUUUUUCGAGCUGGGAAGCUGCCCGUUACCGAGUGAAUGGGACCCUCUUCUUCUCUAUCCCAAGAGACCCACGAUCCCCAAACUCCAUUAAGGACAAGAAGAUUGAGGACUCAAUCGAGAGACCGCCAUCCAGUGGUUGGGCAACAACUAGUUGUCGGAUGCCGAUGAGUUCGAAGACAAGAUGGAGUUGGAGAGCAUCUGCAACCCAAGCACAAGGUGAAAUUAUUUAGGUUUUGUGAACUUGAAAUUUUAUGUUUUAUCUGGGACUUGAAAUUAUAGAUCAAUACCUCUCUUUUUUUACAAGGGAAUUGAUUGAAAUUGCUUAGAUUUAAAAACCCUAAGAUCUUACGGUGGUUGUUUUGAUGGAACUGUUGAUAAUGAUGUUGUUCAAAGAAGCGAAUCUUCAAAUAAGGAGAACGAAGAGGAAGAGGAAAGACCACCAAACUUGAGGUGUGAGUGAAAGAUUUGGACCCGUGGGGACCCGUAGGAACCGGCCCGUUUCAAAAGGGCCGGGUUAGGUCCGGAUCAUAUUUUGAAAAUUCCAAAACGCGCCCCACCCCGCCCCGUUGUAUUUACGAAUGGGUCCGGUCCUGUUCCUUCAAUUUUGGGCCCGGCCCGGCCCGUGCCCAUCCCUAAUAUUAUCUACACUAAGGGGGAGGGGGUGGGCUU
Non-coding RNA from Malus domestica (apple), 1506 nucleotides. The record is from RefSeq and is a predicted model, not a curated record. Lineage: Eukaryota; Viridiplantae; Streptophyta; Magnoliopsida; Rosales; Rosaceae.